GAGCGUGGGUUCUUCGGGUUUUGUCGGCUCGACUCCGCCUGCCCGGCUUCUUCCACCUCCCCGGCGUGCUCCGAGCCCGCCGCGCCGUCCCUCGCUCGCCGCCGCUCUCCCACGCCUGCGGGCUCCCUUCCGGGGUGGCGAGGCGAGGCGAGGCGAGCGAGGGCGGCGGCGCACAGCCUGUUACCCAGCGCUGCCUGCGAGAGCCGCUCGCCGGCGGGACUCCAGCUGCCGUCUCUCGUGUCGCGGGUCGCGAGCUUGGGGAAGGGGCCGGGCCGGAGAAUCCCUGCUUGGACGCGAAAAACCGCCUUGCAAAUAGGAUUGCCUUGGCCUCCGGGAGCGGAAAGGCUCCGGGGGCGGGGGAGGGGGGGGGUGUAACUCGCGGCUACAACCUGUCGAGCUUUUGACAGUGUCCGAACCCCUUAUUAAAUGUGAUCUUGGAGGGUUUCGUGACAGCGUUGGCAAAACAGGGAUUCUUUUUUGAGGCGACAACCAAGGCUCGGGUCACAUAUAAAGUGGAGGAAAGAGAAAAGAUUAGAAAUUCUUUCUACACACAUGCUGUCAUGCACACCCCAACGCACGGGCAUCCUCCCUCUCCCUUCACGAAACUUGGAAGAAAUGGGGUGAGAUGGAGAAGGACACCGACCGUCAGAAAUCUGGAAGUGGAAAGAAGCCUCAGGGUUUUCAAAUUCUCUGAUCGUGGCAACCGGAACCAAGAGAGGCUUCUUUUCUGUCUGCGGUUGGCAGAACCUGAGAGAUGCUGCUACUUGAACCCUGGAGCGGAAGGGUACAUGAUUGGUGCUGUCCCCAUGCUGGACACUUAGACGUUUUGUGCAUAUACAAAUAAAACAGUCUUUUUUCACUU
This is a long non-coding RNA of Panthera uncia (snow leopard), 862 nucleotides long. RefSeq lists it as uncharacterized. The transcript is spliced from 2 exons. Lineage: Eukaryota; Metazoa; Chordata; Mammalia; Carnivora; Felidae. The record is from RefSeq and is a predicted model, not a curated record.